Long non-coding RNA from Octopus sinensis (East Asian common octopus), 101 nucleotides. RefSeq lists it as uncharacterized. The record is from RefSeq and is a predicted model, not a curated record. NCBI's taxonomy places the organism in Eukaryota, Metazoa, Mollusca, Cephalopoda, Octopoda, Octopodidae. The transcript has 3 exons.
AGCCUUGUCGGCCCACAAAUAAAGAACAUUUAUCUAUCAAUGUGGUGUUGAGUACUCAUUAUCCCUGUUCAAUAUUAGUGUGUGUGUGUGUGUAUGUAUAU